RNAcentral lists this unclassified non-coding RNA (352 nucleotides) under soil metagenome. Its description in RNAcentral is "partial contains 5.8S ribosomal RNA, internal transcribed spacer 2, and large subunit ribosomal RNA". The stretch from base 1 to 120 matches the Rfam family "5.8S ribosomal RNA", at positions 35 to 154 of the family's 154-position model. The record is from RNAcentral.
GAUGAAGAACGCAGCGAAAUGCGAUAAGUAAUGUGAAUUGCAGAAUUCAGUGAAUCAUCGAAUCUUUGAACGCACAUUGUGCCCGCCAGUAUUCUGGCGGGCAUGCCUGGUCGAGCGUCAUUACAACCCUCAGGCCCCCGGGCCUGGCGUUGGGGAUCGGCGGAGCCCCCCGUGGGCACACGCCGUCCCCCAAAUGCAGUGGCGGUCCCGCCGCAGCUUCCAUCGCGUAGUAGCUAACACCUCGCGACUGGAGAGCGGCGCGGCCACGCCGUAAAACACCCAACUCUUCUGAAGUUGACCUCGAAUCAGGUAGGAAUACCCGCUGAACUUAAGCAUAUCAAUAAGCGGAGGA